This 25-nucleotide non-coding RNA is filed under the name Rattus norvegicus (Norway rat). The record is from RNAcentral. Lineage: Eukaryota; Metazoa; Chordata; Mammalia; Rodentia; Muridae.
UAUGGAAAUUGAUGGUAAGAGAUGA